RNAcentral lists this long non-coding RNA (672 nucleotides) under Gorilla gorilla gorilla (western lowland gorilla). RNAcentral describes it as "lncRNA (ENSGGOG00000044650.1)". Lineage: Eukaryota; Metazoa; Chordata; Mammalia; Primates; Hominidae. The record is from RNAcentral.
UGAGGAAGGUGCCUGCUUUCCCUUCACCUUCUGCCAUGAUUGCAAGUGUCCUGUAUCCUCCUGGCCAUGUGGAACUGUGAGUCAAUUAAAUCUUUUUUCUUUAUAAAUCACCCAGUCUCAGGUAUUCUUUAGAACAGUGUGACAUCGGACUAAAACACUAUUUCUCCCAGCCCGAAUGCUGGAGUGAGUGUAUAUGCAACUGAUAUCCCCAGUAACUGGGGGCUCCCUUUGGCUGCUAAGUGAAUGGCAGGGAGGCUUGAGGCUGCGCUGUUCACUUUAGGAAACAGCGAGGUGUCUGAGCUAGGGAAUCCUAAAAAGGAUUACUGUCACAAAUUGAACUGAAAUUUAAGAAACACACAAACUGAAACAAGACCUUUUAAUUUGUAGCCCCAAACAGGCAAACUGCUCUGUUGAAACAAUUAAGCAGCUGUGAUGAGGAGGGGCAGCAAUACACAGCAGCUGCCCGGAUUUCCAAGGAGGUUACAGAGAGUUCACGGACUUAGAACCACUCUAGCUCACCUGGCUCCACGUGGCGACUCCAGGCUCUGCACCCUUCCGGCCGCUAAGACAAGGCCUCAGACACGGGGUUCUGCCCUGUUUACUGUCAGCAGAGCCAAGCUGAGAAGGAUGGGCACGAGAAAAGGAGAAGUCCUGGUACAUCUGGAAAUGUAA